Long non-coding RNA from Cygnus atratus (black swan), 1852 nucleotides. RefSeq lists it as uncharacterized. The transcript has 5 exons. NCBI's taxonomy places the organism in Eukaryota, Metazoa, Chordata, Aves, Anseriformes, Anatidae. The record is from RefSeq and is a predicted model, not a curated record.
UGUGGAGGUGCUCGCACGCAGGGAGGGACCAGAGGAACCGCCCCAGCCGCUCGAUGUUGCCGCCUUGCUGGAGCACCUCGCAGACGCAGGCCACUUGCUCUUGGGUGAAGCCAAAAGUCGGGAGCAUCGACAUGAACCACAGCGGCGGAGGCUGAAUGGGAGCAGCUGUUCGCCCUAGCCGGAAAGGAGAUGUCAAAACCUGUUGCGUGGACGGAGCUCUGAGAAAGUCUCUUCUUAGCUCCCUAAAAUCAUUCUGAAACAAAUACACUUUUGGAUGAGGGUGUUAUGUUCAUGUUUAUUUUCAAGUGGAAGAAGGUUGGCAGCAGCAUUUGGCAUGCAUGGAAGAAGUCUGGGAUCUGGGCCUUAUAGUCAUCGUAAAGAAGUGAGCUUCGGCUUCCAAGAAGAGAAGAAAGUAAAGAGGUAUAAUUGGCAGUGUCGGAUUUGACCAAGGAGAAAUGAAUGGUGCAUUUUCAGAAAGGCAAUACCAGCCUCCACAGCCUCACAUGGCUCUGAAGAAGGACUGAGAAAAAGCAGAGAGUUUUGGACUUCUGGGGAGCACGUUUUUUUCUAUUGCUCCAGAAACUCACACUGACGGUACUUGACUGUCCCUCAGGUGAAGCACUGUAGAAGUCUUGCACGUGUUUUCAACAACAAACAUGAAAUUUUCCUUUCAAAAUAUUCUCUGUUCUCCCAUGAGGAGAUAUUCAUUUGUAACAGGUAUCUUUGCUUUGCCAAAGCUCUACCUCAGAGGUCACUUAGUGAUGCAAAAAGUGCAGUCUGGAGGUCAUCGAGGUCUGUGAGCGUACUGCCAGGAUCAGACCCACUGGGAAAGGCGAGCUCAGUGUCUGCUCCAGCUUCUCACUACAUGUGGGGAUGGGGCAGGCAGGUCCUUGGUCUGGGGCCAGUUCCUGUCCUGCCAAAGAGGCUUUGAGGGCAGAGCCAUGGGGUUUAUUUGUGUACCAGAGAGAACUGCUCAGCAGAGGCUACCAACUGUUUUACAGGCCUCCUGGAAAUAAGUGGCAGUAGUUACUGAGCUAUGCUAGGUAUGACCUCGUGACCUAGCAGUGGAAGGCUUUCUAUAUAAACCAUUUACUCAAGCAAAAUUAUGCCACAGGAAGGAAUAGGCUGAUUUUUCACCACCUCUAUUUAUUAUAACCAUUAUUAACUUGUUCCUUGAUAACUUGAUUUAUGAAGUUUGUGACAAAUUGCUUGCUUAAUUGAAAUAUGUCAGGUUUCUAAAUAUUGAAGUUAAUUAUUCCUCCUUUUCUAGUGGAAAUUGACCUUUAAUUGUGCAAUAUUAAUCCACAUAUUUUAUGAAUUAUGUGAAAUACCAUUUUCAUUGUACAGAGAAGCAUGCAUGUGUUAUUGUAGUGGAGUACAGUUACAUAAUUAUUUUUAAUUUAGGAUAUCAGUUUAAUUAAAUACUUGCAGAAACCAAGCUUUUUCAGGAAAUUUGCAAUUACAAUCAAUUUGAACGUACAGCUACAUUAAUAUGGUGACAAGCCCAAUAAUAAAAACUAAGAAAUUAUGGGCAGGUGCUGAACAGAUGUGUAAAUAGAAGGUCUCUGCAUGGAACUUUGUUAUAUAUCAUUUUGAAAAGAAAAGAAAAAAAAAAACCCACUCCACCCUGUUAUCCAUAGCCAGUCAUAUAUGCAGUUAUAAUCAGUCAGAAAAAAAGUUAGUUUGAGUUUAGAUAAAUCAUUUAAAAACGUAUAUGGCACUUAUGCUUUCAUUUUCUGUUUCUGGAGAGAAAGUCUAGUUGAUUGAAGACUGCUGCUCUACUGUACUCAAAGGGUCUGCCGCACUAUUGAAAUAUAUUCUUCUUUCAACACAUUUAUGAUGAGUGGGUUUU